This 421-nucleotide ribosomal RNA is filed under the name uncultured bacterium. RNAcentral's name for it is "bacterial SSU rRNA". It matches the Rfam family "Bacterial small subunit ribosomal RNA", at positions 917 to 1341 of the family's 1533-position model. The record is from RNAcentral.
GGGCCCGCACAAGCGGUGGAGCAUGUGGUUUAAUUCGAUGAUACGCGAGGAACCUUACCAGGGCUUAAAUGUAACGGGACAGAUCUAGAGAUAGAUCCUUCUUCGGACUCAUUACAAGGUGCUGCAUGGUUGUCGUCAGCUCGUGCCGUGAGGUGUCAGGUUAAGUCCUAUAACGAGCGCAACCCCCAUCGUUAGUUGCCAACGAGUAAUGUCGGGAACUCUAACGAAACUGCCGGUGCAAACCGUGAGGAAGGUGGGGAUGACGUCAAAUCAUCACGGCCCUUACGUCCUGGGCUACACACGUGCUACAAUGGUCGGUACAGAGAGCAGCCACUACGCGAGUAGGAGCAAAUCUUCAAAGCCGAUCUCAGUUCGGAUUGUAGGCUGCAACUCGCCUACAUGAAGGUGGAAUCGCUAGUAA